RNAcentral lists this ribosomal RNA (247 nucleotides) under uncultured cyanobacterium. RNAcentral describes it as "partial 16S ribosomal RNA". It matches the Rfam family "Bacterial small subunit ribosomal RNA", at positions 409 to 671 of the family's 1533-position model. The record is from RNAcentral. Lineage: Bacteria; Bacillati; Cyanobacteriota.
GGAAGGCCUUUGGGUUGUAAACCUCUUUUCUCAGGGAAGAAGAUCUGACGGUACCUGAGGAAUAAGCAUCGGCUAACUCCGUGCCAGCAGCCGCGGUAAUACGGAGGAUGCAAGCGUUAUCCGGAAUUAUUGGGCGUAAAGCGUCCGCAGGUGGUCCUUCAAGUCUGCUGUCAAAGACCAGAGCUUAACUCUGGGCAGGCGGUGGAAACUGAGAGACUAGAGUUCGGUAGGGGUAGCGGGAAUUCCC